Molecule: ribosomal RNA, 480 nt
Filed under: Triticum aestivum (bread wheat)
Lineage: Eukaryota; Viridiplantae; Streptophyta; Magnoliopsida; Poales; Poaceae
Description: partial small subunit ribosomal RNA
Source: RNAcentral
AUGAUGGAGGCUGCAACAUUUAAGAUGCCUUGUGCCUUGAGACAGUUAUUUGCGACUAUACUGGUAUUCUGUGAGGCAACAGAAAUCCGUCAGAUGUGGGACAAGCAUCUGGUAGCGAUGUCCGAGGACUACCGGCGUAAUCAAUCCAAUGAGGCAAUACUUGAGCAAAUGGUCCUCAGAGAUAUCAGGGAUAUGUUGCAAUCCAUGGGAAUGGAUACUACAAACUAUGGACUUCCGGAAUUGGUUGACGUCGAUGGUUCUUAUGACAGUGUGUACAGACAGGUAACAGAGGAGAGGCAAAUCAGCAUGGACAAAGAACAUCUAGAAUUAUUUACCAGUUUGAACAGUGAGCAGCUGGCUGGUUUCAGUGACAUAAUGGAUAUGUGGUCAACCAAAAAAGUAAGAUAUUCUUUGUUGAUGGUCCAGGCAGCACUGGGAAGACAUACUUGUACAAGGCAUUGCUUGCAAAGGUGCGUUUGA